GAGUUUGAUCGUGGCUCAGGAUGAACGCUGGCGGCGUGCUUAACACAUGCAAGUCGAACGAAGCGCCUUAUUUGAUUUUCUUCGGAACUGAAGAUUUGGUGACUGAGUGGCGGACGGGUGAGUAACGCGUGGGUAACCUGCCCUGUACAGGGGGAUAACAAUCAGAAAUGACUGCUAAUACCGCAUAAGACCACAGCACCGCAUGGUGCAGGGGUAAAAACUCCGGUGGUACAGGAUGGACCCGCGUCUGAUUAGCUGGUUGGUGAGGUAACGGCUCACCAAGGCGACGAUCAGUAGCCGGCUUGAGAGAGUGAACGGCCACAUUGGGACUGAGACACGGCCCAAACUCCUACGGGAGGCAGCAGUGGGGAAUAUUGCACAGUGGGGGAAACCCUGAUGCAGCAACGCCGCGUGAGUGAAGAAGUAUUCGGUAUGUAAAGCUCUAUCAGCAGGGAAGAAAGUGACGGUACCUGACUAAGAAGCCCGGCUAACUACGUGCCAGCCGCCGCCGUAAC
RNAcentral lists this ribosomal RNA (515 nucleotides) under uncultured microorganism. Its description in RNAcentral is "bacterial SSU rRNA". It matches the Rfam family "Bacterial small subunit ribosomal RNA", at positions 9 to 524 of the family's 1533-position model. The record is from RNAcentral.